Molecule: ribosomal RNA, 484 nt
Filed under: uncultured bacterium
Lineage: Bacteria
Description: partial 16S ribosomal RNA
Rfam family: Bacterial small subunit ribosomal RNA
Source: RNAcentral
AUUGAACGCUGGCGGCAGGCCUAACACAUGCAAGUCGAGCGGAUGAAGGGAGCUUGCUCCUGUAUCCAGCGGCGGACGGGUGAGUAAUGCCUAGGAAUCUGCCUGGUAGUGGGGGAUAACGUCCGGAAACGGGCGCUAAUACCGCAUACGUCCUGAGGUGGAAAGUGGGGGAUCUUCGGACCUCACGCUAUCAGAUGAGCGUAGGUCGGAUUAGCUAGUUGGUGGGGUAAAGGCCUACCAAGGCGACGAUCCGUAACUGGUCUGAGAGGAUGAUCAGUCACACUGGAACUGAGACACGGUCCAGACUCCUACGGUAGGCAGCAGUGGGGUAUGUUGGACAAUAGGCGGAAGCCUGAUCCAACCAUGCCGCGUGUGUGAAGAAGAUCUUCGGAUUGUAAAGCACUUUAAGUUGGGAGAAAGGGCAGUAAGUUAAUACCUUGCUGUUGUGACGUUACCAACAGAAUAAGCACAGGCUAACUUCGUG